GACGAACGCUGGCGGCGUGCUUAACACAUGCAAGUCGAACGGAAAGGCCCUGCUUUUGUGGGGUGCUCGAGUGGCGAACGGGUGAGUAACACGUGAGUAACCUGCCCUUGACUUUGGGAUAACUUCAGGAAACUGGGGCUAAUACCGGAUAGGAGCUCCUGCUGCACGGUGGGGGUUGGAAAGUUUCGGCGGUUGGGGAUGGACUCGCGGCUUAUCAGCUUGUUGGUGGGGUAGUGGCUUACCAAGGCUUUGACGGGUAGCCGGCCUGAGAGGGUGACCGGCCACAUUGGGACUGAGAUACGGCCCAGACUCCUACGGGAGGCAGCAGUGGGGAAUAUUGCACAAUGGGCGUGAGCCUGAUGCAGCAACGCCGCGUGCGGGAUGACGGCCUUCGGGUUGUAAACCGCUUUCGCCUGUGACGAAGCGUGAGUGACGGUAAUGGGUAAAGAAGCACCGACUAACUACGUG
RNAcentral lists this ribosomal RNA (468 nucleotides) under uncultured bacterium. RNAcentral's name for it is "partial 16S ribosomal RNA". It matches the Rfam family "Bacterial small subunit ribosomal RNA", at positions 28 to 507 of the family's 1533-position model. The record is from RNAcentral.